GUCCGGUUCGUCUAGUGGUUAGGACUCCAGAUUUUCAUUCUGGCAGCAGGGGUUCGACUCCCCUACCGGAUA
Molecule: transfer RNA, 72 nt
Filed under: Bacteroidia bacterium
Lineage: Bacteria; Pseudomonadati; Bacteroidota; Bacteroidia
Description: tRNA-Glu
Rfam family: tRNA
About the family: Transfer RNA (tRNA) molecules are approximately 80 nucleotides in length.
Source: RNAcentral